Molecule: ribosomal RNA, 164 nt
Filed under: uncultured bacterium
Lineage: Bacteria
Description: partial 16S ribosomal RNA
Rfam family: Bacterial small subunit ribosomal RNA
Source: RNAcentral
UAGGGAAUCUUCCACAAUGGGCGGAAAGCCUGAUGGAGCAACGCCGCGUGUGUGAUGAAGGGUUUCGGCUCGUAAAACACUGUUGUAAGAGAAGAAUGACAUUGAGAGUAACUGUUCAAUGUGUGACGGUAUCUUACCAGAAAGGAACGGCUAAAUACGUGCAG